This 392-nucleotide ribosomal RNA is filed under the name uncultured bacterium. RNAcentral describes it as "partial 16S ribosomal RNA". It matches the Rfam family "Bacterial small subunit ribosomal RNA", at positions 523 to 918 of the family's 1533-position model. The record is from RNAcentral.
AUACGUAUGUCGCAAGCGUUAUCCGGAUUUAUUGGGCGUAAAGCGCGUCUAGGCGGUUUAGUAAGUCUGAUGUGAAAAUGCGGGGCUCAACCCCGUAUUGCGUUGGAAACUGCUAAACUAGAGUACUGGAGAGGUAGGCGGGACUACAAGUGUAGAGGUGAAAUUCGUAGAUAUUUGUAGGAAUGCCGAUGGGGAAGCCAGCCUACUGGACAGAUACUGACGCUAAAGCGCGAAAGCGUGGGUAGCAAACAGGAUUAGAUACCCUGGUAGUCCACGCCGUAAACGAUGAUUACUAGGUGUUGGGGGUCGAACCUCAGCGCCCAAGCUAACGCGAUAAGUAAUCCGCCUGGGGAGUACGUACGCAAGUAUGAAACUCAAAGGAAUUGGCGGGG